GCUGAAGCUCAUCCGGUUCACCGGUGAAUCUGCCAUAGCUUUCAGUCUGCUCAGUGGUCCCGAGAUUCCCCCAGUAGCGGCGAGCGAACGGGGAGCAGCCCGGAGUCUGAAUCAGCUUGUGUGUUAGUGGAACGGUCUGGAAAGUCCGACGGUACAGGGUGAUAGUCCCGUACACGAAAAUGCACAUGCUGUGAACUCGAAGAGUAGGGCGGGACACGUGGUAUCCUGUCUGAAUAUGGGGGGACCAUCCUCCAAGGCUAAAUACUCCUGACUGACCGAUAGUGAACCAGUACCGUGAGGGAAAGGCGAAAAG
RNAcentral lists this ribosomal RNA (313 nucleotides) under Enterobacter hormaechei subsp. xiangfangensis. RNAcentral's name for it is "partial 23S ribosomal RNA". It matches the Rfam family "Bacterial large subunit ribosomal RNA", at positions 1 to 521 of the family's 2925-position model. Lineage: Bacteria; Pseudomonadati; Pseudomonadota; Gammaproteobacteria; Enterobacterales; Enterobacteriaceae. The record is from RNAcentral.